RNAcentral lists this ribosomal RNA (253 nucleotides) under uncultured bacterium. RNAcentral's name for it is "partial 16S ribosomal RNA". It matches the Rfam family "Bacterial small subunit ribosomal RNA", at positions 524 to 776 of the family's 1533-position model. The record is from RNAcentral.
UACGGGGGGGGCAAGCGUUGUUCGGAAUUACUGGGCGGAAAGGGCUCGUAGGCGGCCAACUAAGUCGGACGUGAAAUCCCUCGGCUCAACCGGGGAACUGCGUCCGAUACUGGAUGGCUUGAGUUCGGGAGAGGGAUGCGGAAUUCCAGGUGUAGCGGUGAAAUGCGUAGAUAUCUGGAGGAACACCGGUGGCGAAGGCGGCAUCCUGGACCGACACUGACGCUGAGGAGCGAAAGCCAGGGGAGCAAACGGG